GGCCGCACGCAUAUAUCGGGCUCACCCCGGAAGCCACAGAAAGAGACGCACACACACGGUUAUACGCACGCACGCAGAAGGUCACCGAAGCAUCAAGGGUGGCUCUGAGAAAUCGGAGCGCGACUGCUCAGCUCUGCUCUUCUUGAGGGUAGCCGCGCGCAGUCCAUCAUGAAGCGUCCUCGAGGUGGCUACACGGACUCCAACGACGAGCGCGCCGACAAGGUGCAUGCCUUCAUUAAGAGUCUGCACUUUUCUGUUCCGCUCUACCGCCUCCGUGAGCAGCAGGACCGCCGCGAAUGCCCCAAGUGUCACAAGCGUCGCCUCUUCUACUGCUAUGACUGCCUCAUUACCGUACACCCGGAGUCCCACCCACCACCGCUGGCACUGCCACUUAACGUGUACGUUGUGCUGCACCCUAACGAACUUCGCGGCAAGAGUACUAGCUUGGCUGCGUCGACCAUUUCACCCGACUUGCACAUUGUAGAGUAUCCGGCUGUGCCGGAGCAGCUGGAGCCAGAGCUCACGCUGGUCUUGUAUCCCGGCGAGCAGAGCGUGGAGCUGCACGAGGUGAAGCAUCUUGACCAGUACAAGCACGUCGUCUUCAUCGACAGCACGUGGCAGCAGAGCAAAGCGAUUGCAAGGGAUGAACGGGUGAGCAAAUUUAAACACGUCCGCAUCAAGUCGCAGACGUCGCUCUUCUGGCGCUUCCAAAACAAUGAUCCGACCUACCUCGCCACUGUCGAGGCGAUCUACUACUUUCUGCGCGAGUAUAUCACACAAGUGAAUAAGCUGAAGGCACAACCGGAGCACAGUGGCAGAAGACUAUCACCACCGCCCGUGCACCAGGUCGAGUCAAAGGAUAGCAAAGCCUCCACGUCGGCCUCCAGCGAAAUGAGUCCGAAGACCGCCGAUGAGGUGGCAACUAGCACCGACGCCACCGCCUUCUACCACGGGGAAGUGGAUGACCUCCUCUUCUACUACAUCAACCAGUACAUCGGCGUCCAGCAGCGCUACACCAGUGGCAAUCCGAACAAGUACACCGACCGCCACUUCAGCGGGUACAUUAUCCAAAACACUUCAUGGGAUGCGCUCGUUGCGCCGCCGCCGGCUGACAGCAACACCAGCGAAAAGGUGACCGAACCGCCACGCGAGACCGUCGAGUAAGGGUCGGGCACGCACACAUGUGUUUCUCUUUGAAUUUGUGUGUGCGUGCGUCUGAGUUGGUUCGAGGCUUCCACGCACUCAGAAGGCGAAGCAGUCGUACAAUGACCGCGUUCACCUGCAUAUCACUGGUGUUUGCGUGUGUAAAACGCAUGCCUUGGGCGCUUCUUCUCCUUCAGUGCGAUUGCCAGAGAGAGAGCACGCACACAAGGUCGUUUCUCCAACAACCCCUCUCCCCCACCCGUAAACGCGCGUAACGUUCAUGAAAACGAAAACAACGCGAGAAAAAAAGCUUAUCGAGUCGCAUCAACCCCUUCAUGUGACUUGAUCUUCAUUUCAGUUUCCAGCGUCCGUGACGCAGGUCGGUGCUUCGAACGAGGAAAUAGUCCUCUCUCGUUGCACACG
Molecule: unclassified non-coding RNA, 1566 nt
Filed under: Leishmania donovani
Lineage: Eukaryota; Euglenozoa; Kinetoplastea; Trypanosomatida; Trypanosomatidae
Description: gene:LdHU3.35.2350(CDS-product:DTW_domain_contain ing_protein_putative)
Source: RNAcentral